Molecule: long non-coding RNA, 439 nt
Filed under: Cavia porcellus (domestic guinea pig)
Lineage: Eukaryota; Metazoa; Chordata; Mammalia; Rodentia; Caviidae
Description: lncRNA (ENSCPOG00000039070.1)
Source: RNAcentral
CUUUCCCUGCACCGUCCCCGCCCGUGACCCAGCAGCCUCUGCAAGUCUGGCCUUGCUGGGCCUGCAGCAUGGCUCCCCACCGCCGGUGCGGCCAGGCGAGACACCUUUCUUGGCAGCACUCUCCAGGGCUCCCGGAAUGUCUGAUUACUCACAGGCUUGCGACAGCACGGAGGUCUCCAGCGCGUAGGGAGGCAGCUGUGGCUUCCUUCCCGAUGACCUCAGCCCGUGGGGAUCCUCACCAAGGCUGUAGAAAAAGAAUCUUUUAAGAGCGUUAUCUAUCUAUCGACGCACGUUCAGGCCCUGACGGUGACCUGGAGCUGCGCUGCCUCUCCAUCACCCAGGAAAUGACAGGGUCGCGAGGAGUCUGAAGCGCCUCCCAGUUCUGCCCGUGGAUUCCUGACCAUUGUCUGGAUUUGGUAGGCUGGAGCGGGUCCAUGUC